Molecule: long non-coding RNA, 1746 nt
Organism: Anolis carolinensis (green anole)
Lineage: Eukaryota; Metazoa; Chordata; Lepidosauria; Squamata; Anolidae
Exons: 7
Source: RefSeq, a predicted model, not a curated record
UCCUGCAAAUGUUGGCACAUCUUGUUUGUGCCAGUAUAUUUCAUGGACUUCACUAAACUCAUGGCACAUCUGGAAACUUUUAGUGGAGCUCAUCCUCUGCUUUCUUUACAGUUUGUUUUUUAUCAAAGCCAUUUGCCUGGUUUAUUUGGAAUGUAAUGGCACCCAGUUUUUUAUAUGAACAUAAAUUUGAAGGCUGGUUUGAAAUAAAUAUAACAACAAGAACUUCUAACAUGAAGUGGAGAUAGGUCUUGAUGCAGCGAUAUCUCCAUUGUCUUGCUUCUCAAUUGGCCAUCAUCCCACUUUGACACAGUGAAUUAUCUGACAUCAUUGAUGUUAAAUUGUCCUGGAAAAUAAAAGAUUUGGAACUCUUCAGCAUUGUCUUACAAAAAAGAAGGAGUCCUUCUGGUAUCAUUUCUGAGGUGCAGCAGUGACAAUGAAGGCAACUCCUCCACUCCAAAGGAAUCUGGAUUAUGUGCACCACUUGUCGAAAUAGGUGAGAAACCGAUUUCUUAUAGAAGAUGCAGCAUUAUUCACACUUAUUUGCGAUUGACAGUUUCAUUGUGUCUUGGUUGGCUCCCUCUAUUGCUUUUCCAUUUGGAUGCAAUUAAAUUUGGAUCAAGCAGGCCAUUGAAUCGUAAGCUGUUUGAUUACUGAGUGAUGUUUAAAUUGGUUAAUACUUUUGAAAUUCAUUUAAUUGAUUUGUUUAUAUUGCUUUAAAGAGGACGAUCGAUGAAUCCUAAUGGGGCUUGUGGAGCACCAUUUGUGUUGAAGGCAGGGUAGCAUUCUUAGUGGGGUUUGUGGUAAGGAAUUGUUAUGAUGAUUGGCAAAAUGUUCAACUGCUCUGAAAAGGGUGAAUGAUAAAAAGCCAUUCUGAACAUGUUAAUUGACUUUACGAACUAGAUACCUGGUUGUACAACACUUUCACAAACAUAAGAAAAUGUUGUAUUUUAGAGUCAGCUUGGAAUCAGAUUGGUUGCUACUGUAGGUAGAUGCUCAGCCUUACAAUUACAAUGGCAAAAAAGACAAGGUGUAAUCUUUUAUUGUUUAAAUAGAUGGCAAAUCUAGGAUCAGCUUUCUGUAUUGAGACCCUCUCAGGGUGGAGGGAGGGGGGAUGCAAUCUGGCAAAUUCCCCUGCAAAGUAUUUACACAAAGGAAUUUAGCAGCCUACUUAAAGGGGUGAAUUGUUAUUGGAAUGAGUUCCUUUUGAAAGCUUGAAGCUGGUUCUGCAAAAGCAUAUUUGCUGUCCUUACAGCACUUGGAUGACACGUGUUCUUCCUUGACUGCAAUUUGGCAUCUGGCUCUUUCAGAUUUGCAUUUACAGUGCAAAUACAAAGAAGAGGCGGAUUCUGAAAUAGCCACACCUUCAGGCAUGGACAUUGUUUUAAGUCAGAAACCAUGUAGCAGAAAAAUAUUAAUGAAAAAGCAUCUAUUUACAAUUACUUGCUACAAAAGUCCACAACAAACUGGAUUUAGAAAGCAAGACAGAAAUCUGAAUCCUUCUGCUACAUAAAGAUUCCUAACUAAAGUGUGUUGGAAGAAUAACUUCAAACAGAACAGGACUGUUCUAUCAUAUUCUGAUGUUAAGGCAUCAUUUGAAAUCUAUUCUUAAUAAACCGAUGAAUCUACUAUUUUUCUUACUAAAGCCAGAAUUCUUGUUACUCAUUUGUCAUCCUCAAAAACGUUAAAUUAAAAAUUUGGUGGAACAGUGUGGUCACCUUGUUAAAUAAAACUUGGAUAUAUUUUUAA